UGGCGACCGGCGCACGGGUGAGUAACACGUAUCCAACCUGCCGAUGACUCGGGGAUAGCCUUUCGAAAGAAAGAUUAAUACCCGAUGGCAUAGUUCUUCCGCAUGGUAGAACUAUUAAAGAAUUUCGGUCAUCGAUGGAGAUGCGUUCCAUUAGCUUGUUGGCGGGGUAACGGCCCACCAAGGCAUCGAUGGAUAGGGGUUCUGAGAGGAAGGUCCCCCACACUGGAACUGAGACACGGUCCAAACUCCUACGGGAGGCAGCAG
This 264-nucleotide ribosomal RNA is filed under the name uncultured bacterium. Its description in RNAcentral is "partial 16S ribosomal RNA". It matches the Rfam family "Bacterial small subunit ribosomal RNA", at positions 89 to 354 of the family's 1533-position model. The record is from RNAcentral.